Molecule: non-coding RNA, 46 nt
Organism: Daphnia pulex (common water flea)
Lineage: Eukaryota; Metazoa; Arthropoda; Branchiopoda; Diplostraca; Daphniidae
Source: Rfam
CAAUCGGCCCUUUUCAGGGCCACCACUAGUUUCUUGAAAAGAUUUU